Molecule: long non-coding RNA, 1384 nt
Filed under: Sorghum bicolor (sorghum)
Lineage: Eukaryota; Viridiplantae; Streptophyta; Magnoliopsida; Poales; Poaceae
Description: long non-coding RNA (SBIC_LNC005192)
Source: RNAcentral
CUGCAUGAAAACAAAAUAAAAAGAGUGUGUCGAUAAGUGUGCUUUAUUUAUCUGCUAAAGUAGUAAUCUCUAGAAAAAUAAAAAUACUAAAAAGAUGCAUGAUGGAAAUGAUGAACAGUUGCUCUGUUUGCUUAUUUGCAAGUACCUAGCUUUCAAGUUAGAGUUCUCCCAAGAAUUACUAAAACUAAAAUUAAAUAUUUAUGGGAGCAUGAGCCUAAAACUACAGUCUAGGUAAGAGAACGACAUGAUAUAAAGUUUGAGCUACUGUUUAUCUUGUUCUUACUACACUAAGUUCUGAAGAUUUAUUUUGAAAACUUGAAAAAUCACAUGAUGAGUUCCUAACAUGACAAAAUACCUACCACAACCAUUCUUGCCAUAACAUCUUUUGCUACUUAUAUUGACAUUGAGUUUGAUCGAGCUGUGUAGACCCUUAGAAGCUUUUCAUGUGGUUAAAUUAAGAUAUUCACUUGCACACAUCUACUACACCAUCUACCACCAUUCAUUAAAAUUGCUGAAAAUAUUAUCACUCACUGUCCCAAGUGUUGUUAUUCUCUCUCUCCAAAAAGAUUCAAUGCAGAAGAGGCAUGGGUUAUGCAAAAAUAUGCAAGGAAAUAAAAAGGGGCAAGUGCCCGGAAACUCGAAAAAAGAAAGAAAAAGAGUGAGAUGAGAGGUAAAAAUGGACAAGUGUCCGGAGUAGAAUUAGGGGUACAAAGAUGCCCACCUGAGCAGAAAAAAUGGACAAAUGUCCGACAGUAGAAUUAGGAGUAUUUACUACCCACCUGAAAAAAGAGAGAAAAGAAAAAGAUAGCCCAUGUUCUCCCAAAGCAAAGAUCAAAGAGGAGGAGAGAUAGCAAUAUGAGGAACAAUGAGAAGUAAGUUUUAUCAUUACUUAUAUUUAUUCCACCACACAUGCACAUCAUGAUUUAACUAUAUGCUGAGUUCCUUCGGAUCCAUGGCUCGAUUAGACAACAUAUGUAUGAGCUGUUUUUCACACCUAUGAGCUUCACAUAAACAUUUCUUUAGUUAUAGGUAAGUGACAUUUUUAGUAAGGAUCCACAAAUACCAUAUAUAGAGAGACUUGAGAGAAUCAUAGCUGGGAACUCUGAGUUUUAUUUUUGAAAACUUAUGCAAAACUCCAGAACAAAGGUGAAGUAUAGACAGGAGGAAUAGUGCUUGACUUAAUUAUUUUGUCUUUCAAUUACUCAAGACUUAAGUGCAGGUACUAAGCUCCAUGACACUUCACUCUAAUCUGAGAGAAUUUUCAUAUGAAAGCAUGUGUGCCUGUCAGGAAAGAAAACAUCGAAGCAACACCUGAUCCAUCUGAGUUUAGCUAUUUGCUCAGGGACGAGCAAAGGGUAAGCUUGGGGGAGUUUGUUGACGGUCC